GAUCCUGGCUCAGGAUUAACGCUGGCGGCGUGCCUAAUACAUGCAAGUCGAAUGGUAGCAAUACCAUGGCGAACGGGUGAGUAACACGUAGGUAACCUGUCUUUAAGCCGAGGAUAACCAUUGGAAACGAUGGAUAAUACUGGAUAGGACAUUUGAAGGCAUCUUUAGAUGUUUAAAGAUUUAUCACUUAGAGAGGGGCCUGCGGCGCAUUAGCUAGUUGGUGAGGUGAAGGCUUACCAAGGCGAUGAUGCGUAGCCGGACUGAGAGGUUGAACGGCCACAAUGGAACUGAGAACGGUCCAUACUCCUACGGGAGGCAGCAGUAGGGAAUUUUCGGCAAUGGGCGGAAGCCUGAACCCGAGCAACGCCGCGUGAACGAAGAAGUAUUUCGGUAUGUAAAGUUCUUUUAAGAGGGAAGAAUGGCCCGUGGAAAAGCGGGCGUGACGGUACCUUUUGAAUAAGCCCCGGCUAACUAUGUGCCAGCAGCCGC
Molecule: ribosomal RNA, 489 nt
Filed under: uncultured bacterium
Lineage: Bacteria
Description: bacterial SSU rRNA
Rfam family: Bacterial small subunit ribosomal RNA
Source: RNAcentral